This 285-nucleotide long non-coding RNA is filed under the name Elaeis guineensis (African oil palm). RNAcentral's name for it is "long non-coding RNA (EGUI_LNC081417)". Lineage: Eukaryota; Viridiplantae; Streptophyta; Magnoliopsida; Arecales; Arecaceae. The record is from RNAcentral.
GCUGGUGUCGAAUGAACUUGUCGAGCCGACCUCGUCUGAUGAGCUCCUCGAUCUCAUCUCGGAGUUGAAUGCAUUCCUCUGUGUCAUGGCCGUGGUCACGAUGUAGAGGCAGAACUUGUUAGGAUUGCGCUUCCUGGGGUGUGUGUGCAUUCUUUCUGGCCUUGGGAGCUACUCCCUGACCUCCAUCAGCAUCUGGGUUUUCGAUGCAUUGAGGGGGGCAUAGCUGCGGAAUCUUUUUGGGGGAGAGCCCCGCCGAACCCUGCAGUCCGAGCUUCUCUGCCUGUG